UGGUGGUUUAUGUGGGAUCUAUUAUAGAAUCUUCUAGAAAGGCUUAGAAUGAUUAUCAUAGUAGAAUCUAUCUAUAGAAUUUUUUAAAAAGAUAGUUAUCUUGGUAGAGCCUAUUAUUAAAGAUAUUCUAGAAUAUUUUAGAAAUAAUUGAAUAAAGUAUAAAUAGCAUUGGCUUAGGUCAUUUGGACAAUCUGCCAAGUAUAGCUUUAAACUCUUUUUCUUAGUACAUUUUGGUUGCUUUUUCUUAUUCUAUUUUAUUUAAUUUUGUUUAAUUUUAUUUUCUUUUAUUAAAUCUUAUCUUUCAUAUUUCAUUUUUUUUAGUUAUUUUAAAUUUUAUUUUAGUAUGUUUGAUCUUAUAUUGUAUCAAAAACUUUGUUAUUAUGAAAUACAUAAGAUUUUAGACCUUAAAAAAUAUAGUCUUAUUUCAUUUUUUUAUUUUUGCAUAUAAUCCUUUAUCUCUUAGUUUUUGUAACACAUGACAAACAUGAAGUUUACAAUCUUUUUUGUUUUGAGAGAA
RNAcentral lists this long non-coding RNA (517 nucleotides) under Physcomitrium patens. Its description in RNAcentral is "long non-coding RNA (PPAT_LNC010033)". Lineage: Eukaryota; Viridiplantae; Streptophyta; Bryopsida; Funariales; Funariaceae. The record is from RNAcentral.